UCAGCCGCNCGCGGUAAUACCAGCACCCCGAGUGGUCGGGACGUUUAUUGGGCCUAAAGCAUCCGUAGCCGGUUCUACAAGUCUUCCGUUAAAUCCACCUGCUUAACAGAUGGGCUGCGGAAGAUACUAUAGAGCUAGGAGGCGGGAGAGGCAAGCGGUACUCGAUGGGUAGGGGUAAAAUCCGUUGAUCCAUUGAAGACCACCAGUGGCGAAGGCGGCUUGCCAGAACGCGCUCGACGGUGAGGGAUGAAAGCUGGGGGAGCAAACCGGAUUAGAUACCCGGGUAGUCCCAGCUGUAAACGAUGCAGACUCGGUGAUGAGUUGGCUUAUUGCUAACUCAGUGCCGCAGGGAAGCCGUUAAGUUUGCCGCCUGGGGAGUACGGUCGCAAGACUGAAACUUAAAGGAAUUGGCGGGGGGAGCACA
RNAcentral lists this ribosomal RNA (424 nucleotides) under uncultured archaeon. RNAcentral describes it as "bacterial SSU rRNA". It matches the Rfam family "Archaeal small subunit ribosomal RNA", at positions 458 to 880 of the family's 1478-position model. The record is from RNAcentral.